AUUUGUAUAGUUUAAUAAAAACUUUACAUUUUCAUUGUAAAAUUAGAUUCUCAUCUUACAAAUA
Molecule: transfer RNA, 64 nt
Filed under: Leucocelis sp. LEU01
Lineage: Eukaryota; Metazoa; Arthropoda; Insecta; Coleoptera; Scarabaeidae
Description: tRNA-Glu
Source: RNAcentral